RNAcentral lists this ribosomal RNA (261 nucleotides) under uncultured bacterium. RNAcentral's name for it is "partial 16S ribosomal RNA". It matches the Rfam family "Bacterial small subunit ribosomal RNA", at positions 30 to 305 of the family's 1533-position model. The record is from RNAcentral.
UGAACGCUGGCGGCGUGCCUAAUACAUGCAAGUCGAGCGCGCCCUUCGGGGUGAGCGGCGGACGGGUGCGUAACGCGUAGGAAUCUACCUUAUAGUGGGGGACAACUCGAGGAAACUCGAGCUAAUACCGCAUAAUCCUUACGAGGGAAAGCAGGGGAUCUUCGGACCUUGUGCUAUUAGAUGAGCCUGCGUCGGAUUAGCUUGUUGGUAGGGUAAUGGCCUACCAAGGCAACGAUCCGUAGCUGGUCUGAGAGGACGACC